AGGGGGUUUGAAUCAUGGCUCAGGAUGAACGCUAGCGGCAGGCCUAAUACAUGCAAGUCGAACGAUACCAGGGAGCUUGCUCUCUGGGAAAGUGGCGCACGGGUGCGUAACGCGUAUGCAACCUACCUUUAUCUGGGGGAUAGCCUCUCGAAAGAGAGAUUAACACCGCAUAACAUCAACGAAUGGCAUCAUUCAAUGAUCAAAUAUUUAUAGGAUAAAGAUGGGCAUGCGUGUCAUUAGCUAGUUGGUGAGGUAACGGCUCACCAAGGCGACGAUGACUAGGGGAUCUGAGAGGAUGACCCCCCACACUGGUACUGAGACACGGACCAGACUCCUACGGGAGGCAGCAGUAAGGAAUAUUGGUCAAUGGAGGCAACUCUGAACCAGCCAUGCCGCGUGCAGGAAGACGGCCCUAUGGGUUGUAAACUGCUUUUAUACGGGAAUAAACCUCUCUUCGUGAAGAGAGCUGAAUGUACUGUAAGAAAUAAGGAUCGGCUAACUCCGUGCCAGCAGCCGCGGNUAAUACGGNAGGAUCCAAGCGUUAUCGGAUUUAUUGGGUUUAAAGGGUGCGUAGGCGGCU
RNAcentral lists this ribosomal RNA (580 nucleotides) under uncultured Bacteroidota bacterium. Its description in RNAcentral is "bacterial SSU rRNA". It matches the Rfam family "Bacterial small subunit ribosomal RNA", at positions 1 to 580 of the family's 1533-position model. The record is from RNAcentral. Lineage: Bacteria; Pseudomonadati; Bacteroidota.